RNAcentral lists this ribosomal RNA (378 nucleotides) under uncultured bacterium. Its description in RNAcentral is "bacterial SSU rRNA". It matches the Rfam family "Bacterial small subunit ribosomal RNA", at positions 44 to 449 of the family's 1533-position model. The record is from RNAcentral.
ACGCCUAACACAUGCAAGUCGAACGAAGUAGCAAUACUUAGUGGCAGACGGGUGAGUAACAUGUAGGUAUCUGCCCUUUGGCCUGGAAUAACACGAGGAAACUUGUGCUAAUACCGGAUAAGUCUUUACGGAGAAAGCUUUAUGCACCAUUGGAUGAGCCUGCACUUGAUUAGUUUGUUGGUGGGGUAAUGGCCUACCAAGACUGUGAUCAAUAGCUGAUUUGAGAGGAUGAUCAGCCACAUUGGGACUGAGACACGGCCCAAACUCCUACGGGAGGCAGCAGUGGGGAAUCUUGCACAAUGGAGGAAACUCUGAUGCAGCGAUGCCGCGUGAGUGAAGAAGGCCCUUGGGUUGUAAAGCUCUUUCGUCGGGGAAGAA